GCUUGUCUCAAAGAUUAAGCCAUGCAUGUCUAAGUAUAAACGAUCUAUACUGUGAAACUGCGAAUGGCUCAUUAUAUCAGUUAUAGUUUAUUUGAUAGUCCCCUUACUACUUGGAUAACCGUAGUAAUUCUAGAGCUAAUACAUGCUAACAGCCCCAACUUUACGGACGGGGUGUAUUUAUUAGAUCCAACCAACCGCGGCGGGCAACCGGCGCGAACCUGGUGAAUCAUGAUAACUGAGCGAAUCGUAUGGCCUCGCGCCGACGAUGGUUCAUUCAAGUUUCUGCCCUAUCAGCUUUCGAUGGUAGGGUAUUGGCCUACCAUGGCAUUGACGGGUAACGGAGAAUUAGGGUUCGAUUCCGGAGAGGGAGCCUGAGAAACGGCUACCACAUCCAAGGAAGGCAGCAGG
This 408-nucleotide ribosomal RNA is filed under the name uncultured eukaryote. Its description in RNAcentral is "partial small subunit ribosomal RNA". It matches the Rfam family "Eukaryotic small subunit ribosomal RNA", at positions 30 to 432 of the family's 1831-position model. The record is from RNAcentral.